RNAcentral lists this ribosomal RNA (253 nucleotides) under uncultured bacterium. RNAcentral's name for it is "partial 16S ribosomal RNA". It matches the Rfam family "Bacterial small subunit ribosomal RNA", at positions 524 to 776 of the family's 1533-position model. The record is from RNAcentral.
UACGUAGGCAGCGAGCGUUGUUCGGAAUUACUGGGCGUAAAGAGUGUGUAGGCGGUGCUCUAAGUUCGGUGUGAAAUCUCCUGGCUCAACUGGGAGGGUGCGCCGGAAACUGGAGUGCUUGAGCGUGGGAGAGGAAAGCGGAAUUCCUGGUGUAGCGGUGAAAUGCGUAGAUAUCAGGAGGAACACCGGUGGCGAAGGCGGGACUCUGGGCCGAUACUGACGCUGAGGAGCGAAAGCGUGGGGAGCAAACAGG